GACGAACGCUGGCGGCGUGCCUAAUACAUGCAAGUUGAGCGCUGAAGGUUGGUACUUGUACCAACUGGAUGAGCAGCGAACGGGUGAGUAACGCGUGGGGAAUCUGCCUUUGAGCGGGGGACAACAUUUGGAAACGAAUGCUAAUACCGCAUAAAAACUUUAAACACAAGUUUUAAGUUUGAAAGAUGCAAUUGCAUCACUCAAAGAUGAUCCCGCGUUGUAUUAGCUAGUUGGUGAGGUAAAGGCUCACCAAGGCGAUGAUACAUAGCCGACCUGAGAGGGUGAUCGGCCACAUUGGGAAUGAGACACGGCCCAAACUCCUACGGGAGGCAGCAGGAGGGAAUCUUCGGCAAUGGACGAAAGUCUGACCGAGCAACGCCGCGUGAGUGAAGAAGGUUUUCGGAUCGUAAAACUCUGUUGGUAGAGAAGAACGUUGGUGAGAGUGGAAAGCUCAUCAAGUGACGGUAACUACCCAGAAAGGGACGGCUAACUACGUG
RNAcentral lists this ribosomal RNA (497 nucleotides) under uncultured bacterium. RNAcentral describes it as "partial 16S ribosomal RNA". It matches the Rfam family "Bacterial small subunit ribosomal RNA", at positions 28 to 507 of the family's 1533-position model. The record is from RNAcentral.